UACCAUCUGCUAUAGUUUAAAAAUUACCCUAAAAAGUAUGUCAUCUAUUUAUAGUGCUCUGAAAUUUGCUGACAAAAAUACCCUUCGGGAGUUUCUGCGGCCGCACAAUUUGGCUGCGGACCGCACUUUCUUCUGUUGCUCUUACAGUAGGAUGGAUUCUGCGUCCACAUAAUAACUUCUACGGCCGCACUUUAGCUUCUGUGGCCACACAAUUUGACUGUGAAUGCACUUUAAGGAGGCUUUGAAUUUGGUCCUUUGCAACGUCUAUGAUCUUUCCAAGCUUGUCAGUGCAAACAGCUUCUGCGCACGCACAAUUUAGUAUGUGGACCGCGCUGUUGCUAAACUCUUCUGAAGCUUCAAGGGUAAAUUUGUGGCCGCACUUGUAUUUCUGCGGGCUGUAUCUUCAUCUAUGACUGCAGAAUAAGUUUGCAUACCGCACAAUCCUUUGCACUGCUCCUCUUUGACUAGUUGAGCUGGAACAUCUCCUUCUUGAGUUAUAUUUCUUCAUUGAGCUCACAUCCUCUAGUAUGCCUGCAAUUCACAUAAUUUUAUUAAAUUCAAAAACCAAAAUUACUAUUUUCGGACUAAAAACUAAAGUAAAAAGGUGCUAAUAAGUGGUUAAAAUCCACACUUACCCCCUCCCCUCACUAAACCGUCCAAGAACCAAACCACAACUAUGGCCACCAAUUUCAUCCAUCAAAAUCACAAAGCUCCAGUAAUUGAGAUUAUUUUAAUGCCUUUUUAUUCCUACAAUGACUAAAUUUUAAAAUCAUAAAGUAAUCCUAUAUAACUUUUAUAAGGCAGUGAAAGAGUUAAUCGAAAAAAUGAUCAAAAAAGGUAUUUAGAUAUUGCCGAAAAAAUAUUUUCGGCGACUGCAAACCUUACCCAUUCUUCACCUUUAUCGUUCACUCUCUUCUAACUUUUAAAGUAAGAACCAUCCGUGCAUUACUAUCUUCAAACCAGCAGAAAAAAUUCUCUAACAACCCAUUUAUCUCUUAUCUCCUCUCAUCUCUUUUGUUCCUUCCUCAAAAUAUAACUCAUGUUAAAUUAGCCAUACCCUCUUCUCUUUAUUUAAUUUCCCAAUAAGGAUUGGUGAAGAGGUGAUGUAUACUGACAUGAAUAAAUUGGAGGAGGAAAAAAGCAGAGGCGAGAGACGAGAAAGAUAGGAAACGAUAGAGAGAAUUAUACAAAAGGGAUGGGGAGGGGAAAAUUAAGGGAUGAGAUUUUCUAGAUGAGCUUUGAAUUGGGGGAAAGAUUCGGAUGAGAAGUGGAGCAAUGGAAAGAGGGAGGCCUUGGGGUUCCAUUUUCG
Molecule: long non-coding RNA, 1309 nt
Filed under: Nicotiana tabacum (common tobacco)
Lineage: Eukaryota; Viridiplantae; Streptophyta; Magnoliopsida; Solanales; Solanaceae
Description: long non-coding RNA (NTAB_LNC007206)
Source: RNAcentral